Molecule: long non-coding RNA, 668 nt
Filed under: Equus caballus (horse)
Lineage: Eukaryota; Metazoa; Chordata; Mammalia; Perissodactyla; Equidae
Description: lncRNA (ENSECAG00000056803.1)
Source: RNAcentral
CCGAGUGAGCUGUCCACACAUUAAUCACUGAGGUUAGCUGAAGACUUGCCUCAUCAGUAUUCAGCACUCUGCCUUAAGAUGUAAGCAGACAAGAAACUUCCUCGGAUGGAGGGAUGGAGAGGAAAAGAAGAAAUCUUAUCUGAGACCAAAGACUGACAUCCUUUACUCAUACCCAACUCCCAUUGACUUCAAUCAACUUCAGCUUCACAUCAGGAAGAAUUUUGCUGGAGGACAGAAUUUUGAAUUUCACUGCAAUGAAUGAGAGCUCCUGUUGCAGAGACACAAGAGCAGAAACUGCCCUGGGAACCAGUGCCUGGCUAGGGAAAACUGAGAAGGCAACAUAAAAAUGUUGAAUGAAUGAAAAAAAGUGAAGGAAGUGCAGAUACAUGGAGGAAGAGAAUUCCAGGCAGAGGAAACACAAAAUAUGAAGACUUUAAAGUGGGAGUGGUCUGUGUAGUGUCUUCAAUGAACGCCACAGAGUUAUGAGCUGGAGUGGAGUAAUGAUGAGAAGAAAAGUAGAAGAUGACAUCAGAAAGAUUGGCAGAUAGGAUUGUGGAUAGUCACAAAGGGCAGAGGUGCGGAAUAGCACUGCAUUUACCAACAAGAAUGGGGAGUCACAGCUUCCCGGGGCAAGGCCCCUCGCCGAUGGUGAAAGCGUGUGUCUCAGG